AUUUAUAUAAUUUAAUUAAAAAAUAUUAAUUUGUGAAAUUAAAAAUUUUUAUAAAUU
Molecule: transfer RNA, 57 nt
Filed under: Aclerda takahashii
Lineage: Eukaryota; Metazoa; Arthropoda; Insecta; Hemiptera; Aclerdidae
Description: tRNA-His
Source: RNAcentral